Molecule: long non-coding RNA, 1489 nt
Organism: Gallus gallus (chicken)
Lineage: Eukaryota; Metazoa; Chordata; Aves; Galliformes; Phasianidae
Source: Ensembl
AAAAUAUCCAUAAAUGCAGUUAACAAGUUCACAUAAGUCAUAACUUGGACUAAACUUCAUAAAAUCAAGAUCUAAAGUUGGGAGAUCUGUGAAUUUUUGAAGGUGUCCGGUUUUUUCCUCUGGAUCUUCCUUCUCCAUGCUGAAGUUGGAAAGAGGUGCACCUAUCAAUAGGAUGGAUCCUUUAUUGUGUAAAAUGCUCUCUUUGUUGGAUUCUGCACAACAGGUGGUUUCCAGGCAGAGCAGAGAGCCUACAGGAGGAUGGACACAACACCUGUCCCCCAGGGUCCCACUCUAUGACCCCCAUAAAUGCCUCACCAAGCAGGACACCUGAGAGUUGCAUGGACAGCUGCCCUGCAGUGAUAAAAACGCCAUGUGGGGAUGGUGACAAUGACAAAAGUUGUCGUGUGCUGGGAUGUUGCUACCAACAGAAAGACUACAGUCCCGCUGCAGGAAGAGGAUGGGCCCAGAGCAGUCUGUGGAGGUAGUGGGAAGUCUCAUUAAAAGGCAAGGGCUGGGGAUGAGGCGCGUGGGAUCAGGCACACAGCAUAUAAGGACGACAGAUGGCAUGAAAUCCACCUCUUCAUUCCUUCUUCCUCAAGGAGGUCAUACUGAUGGGAAAUGUGCCAAAAUUUUGCAGUCUCAAAGCUUGAGUAAAGAGUUAUUACGUUUCCAUGAUUCAGAAAGCAAGUAUUUUCAUGAAAUAAGGAUCAGCCUGUUUCAAUCAGAUUGGCUCCUCCAGCUGCAGAAGAACCCCCAUAUUCAUGGUGAAAGGUAAUUUUGAACCAGGGAGAGAUUGUAAUAAACUCAGACAGUGUCAUUUCUCUGCUCCUUCUAUGGAUGCAGCAAAAAGACUGAUGAUGUGUUGUCACCACUUGUUGAUUUCUUAUUUCACACCAACACAAGGUAGAGCAUCUCAUGGGGAAGGCACAGUCUCAUCAUCAGGGUUCCAAUCUCUUGCAUCACGUUGAGGUCAGCCUCUUGUUUUGCCUUCAUCUUUAUAAAUUGUUCUCAUCUUUCUCUGUUCAUCAGAUCUGUGCUUGCUUUCACUGAGGUCCCACCUGGCCUCUCAUUCUCCUGUGACAGGUUCAGACCUUGGGAUCGCACCAAGUAGAGCCUGAAGCUCUGCACAAGUUGCGAGUGCUGUAGAUGGCACUCUUUGAUCCCACUCAGUCAAAGUUUCCCACCAAUCACUGCAGGGCAGUUGGAGGUGCUGCCGUUCAGCUGAGACAUAAAACAGAGGUUCAGGCAAAUUGCCAUCAUUAAAAAUGCCACAGCACUUCUGCAGCAACAGUAGGAGUACUAGCUCCAGUGAUCAAGCCAACGUUUAAUCUGAGUAAUUUACAUGCUAGUUACCCAGAAUUCUCCCAAUGAUUUCAAGCAGAUAAGGCAAUUUAAGAGUUUUUUGCUUUGUUUUGUUUUGUUUUCCUUUUCUCUGCCACACUCUAUAGUGAUGCUGUGUUGUUACACAGUUGUUGCAUUUAACCUCGAG